GAGUUUGAUCCUGGCUCAGAACGAACGCUGGCGGCAGGCUUAACACAUGCAAGUCGAACGGGAUGGUUCCUUCGGGAACCGGCGAGUGGCGCACGGGUGAGUAACGCGUGGGGAUCUGCCUCGAAGUGGGGAAUAACCGCUGGAAACGGCGGCUAAUACCGCAUACGCCCUUAGGGGGAAAGCUUUAUGCGCUUUGAGAUGAACCCGCGUAGGAUUAGCUUGUUGGUGAGGUAAAAGCUCACCAAGGCACCGAUCCUUAGCUGGUCUGAGAGGAUGAUCAGCCACACUGGGACUGAGACACGGCCCAGACUCCUACGGGAGGCAGCAGUGGGGAAUAUUGGACAAUGGGCGCAAGCCUGAUCCAGCCAUGCCGCGUGAAUGAAGAAGGCCUUAGGGUUGUAAAGUUCUUUCAGUCGCGAAGAUGAUGACGGUAGCGACAGAAGAAGCCCCGGCUAACUCCGUGCCAGCAGCCGCAGUAAUACGGAGGGGGCAAGCGUUGUUCGGAAUUACUGGGCGUAAAGGGCGCGCAGGCGGUUUCGUCAGUCAGAUGUGAAAGCCCCGGGCUUAACCUGGGAACUGCAUUUGAUACUGCGAGACUAGAGUUCGGGAGAGGGUAGUGGAAUUCCCAGUGUAGAGGUGAAAU
RNAcentral lists this ribosomal RNA (643 nucleotides) under uncultured bacterium. RNAcentral describes it as "bacterial SSU rRNA". It matches the Rfam family "Bacterial small subunit ribosomal RNA", at positions 9 to 687 of the family's 1533-position model. The record is from RNAcentral.